CAGCCGCCGCGGUAAUACGUAGGGUGCAAGCGUUAAUCGGAAUUACUGGGCGUAAAGCGUGCGCAGGCGGUUCUAUAAGACAGAUGUGAAAUCCCCGGGCUCAACCUGGGAACUGCAUUUGUGACUGUAGAGCUGGAGUGCGCCAGAGGGGGAUGGAAUUCCGCGUGUAGCAGUGAAAUGCGUAGAUAUGCGGAGGAACACCGAUGGCGAAGGCAAUCCCCUGGGCCUGCACUGACGCUCAUGCACGAAAGCGUGGGGAGCAAACAGGAUUAGAUACCCCCGUAGUCCCUGUCUCUUAUAC
This 301-nucleotide ribosomal RNA is filed under the name uncultured bacterium. RNAcentral's name for it is "partial 16S ribosomal RNA". It matches the Rfam family "Bacterial small subunit ribosomal RNA", at positions 509 to 807 of the family's 1533-position model. The record is from RNAcentral.